AUUAAAGUGGCAGAAUUAUUAUAAUGCGAGGAAUUUAAGCUUCCUUUAUGAAUGUUUUCCUUUAAUA
RNAcentral lists this transfer RNA (67 nucleotides) under Ixodes granulatus. RNAcentral's name for it is "tRNA-Leu". The record is from RNAcentral. Lineage: Eukaryota; Metazoa; Arthropoda; Arachnida; Ixodida; Ixodidae.